UGAGGUAGUAGAUUGUAUAGUUUUAGGGUCAUACCCCAUCUUGGAGAUAACUAUACAGUCUACUGUCUUUCC
This 72-nucleotide microRNA precursor is filed under the name Dasypus novemcinctus (nine-banded armadillo). Its description in RNAcentral is "let-7f-2 stem-loop (dno-let-7f-2)". Its record names the gene dno-let-7f-2. It matches the Rfam family "let-7 microRNA precursor family", at positions 7 to 81 of the family's 84-position model. Rfam says of the family: This family represents the microRNAs (miRNA) let-7 and mir-98. let-7 was identified from a study of developmental timing in C. elegans, and was later shown to be part of a much larger class of non-coding RNAs termed miRNAs. The extents of the hairpin precursors are not generally known and are estimated based on hairpin prediction. Lineage: Eukaryota; Metazoa; Chordata; Mammalia; Cingulata; Dasypodidae. The record is from miRBase by way of RNAcentral. RNAcentral also lists the same sequence under 1 other name.